AUUGAACGCUGGCGGCAUGCUUUACACAUGCAAGUCGAACGGCAGCGCGGGCUUCGGCCUGGCGGCGAGUGGCGAACGGGUGAGUAAUGCAUCGGAACGUGCCCAGUAGUGGGGGAUAGCCCGGCGAAAGCCGGAUUAAUACCGCAUACGACCUGAGGGUGAAAGCGGGGGACCGAAAGGCCUCGCGCUAUUGGAGCGGCCGAUGUCGGAUUAGCUAGUUGGUGGGGUAAAGGCUUACCAAGGCGACGAUCCGUAGCUGGUCUGAGAGGACGACCAGCCACACUGGGACUGAGACACGGCCCAGACUCCUACGGGAGGCAGCAGUGGGGAAUGUUGGACAAUGGGGGCAACCCUGAUCCAGCCAUGCCGCGUGCGGGAAGAAGGCCUUCGGGUUGUAAAACGCUUUUGUUCGGGAAGAAAGCCUCUGGGCUAAUACCCCGGGGGGAUGACGGUACCGGAAGAAUAAGCACCGGCUAACUACGUG
This 484-nucleotide ribosomal RNA is filed under the name uncultured bacterium. RNAcentral's name for it is "partial 16S ribosomal RNA". It matches the Rfam family "Bacterial small subunit ribosomal RNA", at positions 29 to 507 of the family's 1533-position model. The record is from RNAcentral.